AUAGUAAUAGAAAGAAGGAAUAGUAACAACUAGCUAAAUAAUACAAUAAUUGAAAUAUUGGAAAUAACAGAAAUUGAAGUAAAAAAUAUGAGAAUAGUGCUAAAACAACCAGUAAGAAAUGAGAAGCAGAUACGGCCCUCCAACCAAGCUUAUUUUAAAGCGAGAUAAUUGCUCAACUAUCUACUAACCGUUUACCCUAAUUCCCGACCUCCAUAUUCUCCUGUCUAAGGUCAUGUCCUCGAUAAACUGGAGAUGUGUCAUGUCCUAUUUAAUCAUCUCCCCCCAAUAGUUCUUCAGCCUCAUCUACCUCCUUAAAUCCACCAUUCUUAAUUUCUCGCACCUCCUCACUUAGAGUCUCCCUUUCACAUGUUUGAACCAUUUCAACCUCACUGCUCUCAUCUUGUUCAUCACGGGAGUCACUACAACCAUGUCCCCGAAUAUCAUCAUUUCUAAUCCUAUAUGCUCACUUUUUCUAAAUCAUAGUUGAUUUAAUAAUUACUGCUAAUACAGACAUUAAAGCACCAAGAGGGACAAAAAGAACUUCACAAGUGACAAGAAAAUCAAAAAGGGGUUUUCAUCAACAUUUGAUUAGAUUAAUUAAUCGUUUAAAGAUCAUGAUAACGGUGCUUAAGAUAUCUAUAGCUAAAAGGCGAUAUAUAUUGCCCUUUGAAUUGUUUUUCACUUUAAGCAGAAUGCAUGUUUCUAGACUAGAAACGAAGCACUUGAGUGAUGGAAGCUAAAAGGAAAACAGUAAAUAAUAGUAGUUCACUUUUCAUAAAGCUUGAAGGGAUAGAACAUCUUUUUGGUCGUAACAUAUAUACCAUCACUUUGAUUAGAUUCCACUCUUCAAGGUUGUCGACUGGAAUAUUUAACUACAUAAUAUGUUAAGGAUGUGACUUACUAUGGGAAUCAGAAGUAAAUUGUUUUCUUUUAGAAAAUGGCAAAGCGCGAUCAACGGUGUCUAAAGUCGAUUGGAUAUGUUAAAAUCAUACAAGGAUGAAUAAUUGAACCUUCAGAAGGUUCAACUCCAGGGUGUAGGUUAUAAUCAUUCAACUGUCUAUCAUACAUGCUAUUAACAAUGUAUGGAAGUUCUAAAGUUCGAAUUAAAUUAGCCUAAAAAAGAAAUCCUUAUCUCUUGUAACAAGAAAACAUGUUGAGCUGACAAAUUUUCUGAUCCUUUUGGAACUUGCUGUAAAAUGCAUAGCUUAUUGUUAUGCUAUUUCUGGUUAUAUAUAUCCACUAGACAUAUAUGAGAUGUUUGUUUUUUUGCUUCUUUACUUCCAUUAAUUGCAAUAUAAUGUUUUGGCGUUUGUCAUCCUUUUGUUGGGAACUGAACUGUACAUAUUGUCUUAAAUAGUGAUGAGGUGGGUAAAAGAAUCAAGCAGACUGUCUCCCUUCCCAACCUUUUGCUUUCUGCUCAUCCUCCUGAUGUGUUGUAGCUUUUCUUGGCAAUGUUUGAUCACACAUAUCUUUUCUGUUUGCCAAUUACUACCUCCUUUCCCAUCAUCACCCUACCCCCUUGAUAAAUUCUUUCGAGUUUAACUUUUAUACACUAACAAGUAUAAAACAUUUUUCUAACCCUAAUUUCUAGAAAGCAAACCAAAUGACACUAAUAGUUUCAAAAAAGUUAUAUUGCCCGUGUAUACAAGUUAAAUACUGGAAUCCUUGAUGGUUUAGUAUAGAUUGGGAUGAAAAAGUACAGAGAGAGAAAAAGAAAGUGAUGGGUUCUGGUAUAUAUGAGGCAAAGCACAUGGGAAAUGACUCUCUCUGCAAAAAAAGCAGAUUGAUUUAUCCUUAAAGUGUCUGUUAAGUGGAGUAACUACUACUUUGUCUUUAAAAGUAUAAAAUGGAUCUGCUUUGGCGUUUGAAUUUAUUUCCCCAUCCUUGCUUGUUUAUUUGCCGAUCAUGACACUAAUUCUAGGGCUUAUUUCUUUUUUUAAAAUAUUGAUAGACUGCUUUUAUUUCUUUACAAACAAAAGCACCAAGUGCUGGUAAGUUUUUACGUAGAACUGUAGCUCUUUCCAUACAGAAAGAGACAACUAUCUGCAAAAAUCAUUUUUAUUAAGUAGGCAAAUAAAUAGUUUAAAAGAACAAAAAUGACAACUCAUCUCUGGGUGAAAUCACUAACGAAAGUAAAUUUAUAUUAGUGAUCCUUAGGGCCCAUAGCUAUGUGUAUAUGGUCAACUAAUGCUAAUUUGUAUGCAGGAUAUACCCCACUCCGAGUAGAAACAAAAUUGAAGUAAAGGCACCUAGGUAGGUGACUACAAAUCUGGGGUAUCACAAACAAAAAAUAAACAAAUACUAGAUGAUUUCUUUGUACGUUGUGAUGGUGGAAGGUAGUAGAUAUCUAAUGAAAAAAUCCGGGUUUCAAAUUAAGAUUUAGGUAUAGCUCCGCUCCGGAGGUUCGAAAAUAUGGGAAAUAUUGUUCAAAGACAACGUGUGCUUUGCAAUAAUUAACGAGUCAAACGUUUGAAUCAAAUGUCACCUGAAAUUGAAACACUUGACCAGACAUUAUGGAAAACGGAUACUCUGCUAAUGGGUGAUACUAAAAACAAUUAGAGGCCCUAAUACUUUGAACUUUGUAGCACCCCAAUUUGGUCGGAGACUAAACAACCCAUCGACUGGUGACCAAGAAAACAUCUAAGAUCAAUUUCAGCAUCUUAGAAUUAGGUAGCUAAACAGGUUAGACUUCAACUCUUGAAUCCACCCAAAUACCAAAAUCCUCAUUCCAGAACGACUUUCAUUUUAUUUUUUUAAAUGUAUAAAGAAAAUGUUUUCCAUCUAAGUGGAGCAGGCAAGCAUUGACCAUCAACUUUUUUUAUGGCCAACCUUAGGCCAAACUAUGGCUUUCGAAACUCAAGGAUAACAGAUCAGGCCCCUCUACCUUUCUCCACUUAAUUACCAGAUUAGUUCACUUGUAGCAAGGCUAAGUCAUAACUCCCUCAGCCUCUGUCGAUUGAACUAAGCAAUGGGGAGCAAGCAUUUGAGGGUGAAUUUACAAGCUACCAGGUAGAAAACGGCUCAUACCCAGCCCACGGCUCAAUGUCAGGUGGAUCACAAUUGCAUGUAUUAAAAGUGCUAACAUUGUCACAUUGUGCUUUCAGAUAUAAGACAUUAUGUUUCAAGUAGAAUGGUCCAGUGCGUAAUGACAAAAAUUGCAAUCAUGAACCUAUGAUAUAUGCGAAGAUGUUGGCAACGCCAUGCACAAAAUUAAAGGCAUCCAUCGGCAACUUAUCCCAACUCUUUUAGUAGGUUGGACUGCACUGGAAUGCAUGUUUAAUACUUCCCUGGAACUCCUAGUGCUAUCUAAAGCUUGCACGAAAAAAAAAGGAACUAGACCUACAUAGAAACUUCAGUUGAUGCAUGGAAAUAUACAAAUAGGUAUGCUUUCAAUACGACAAAGGGUUGAACUGCCCUGAGCUUCUCCUAGCCACAACAUAAACCUAUUCUUCAUAAUGCCUAAAACCAAAUAAUUGAAUGUUGAGAAAUAGUUACAUUUUAAUAAAUACAAAUAAACAUUAUUUUCAUAUACAUCACAGAAAUAACUGUCUAGUGCACUUGUCACUAGUUCUGCAUCAAAUGGUAACUAAAGAAGACUAUAACAUAUGCUUUUAUGGCUUUAAUCAAAUUAGAAAAUCAGAAAGAUGUAAAUUUGGUUUAUUUGGUAAAGUAGAACAUUAGUAAUCAACUAGUGAUAUCAAAAAAUUUAAAUACUUCAAAUGAAGAGAUGAUCUCUAUCAACAUAAAACUGUAAGGACUCUUAUAAGUUUCUCCUAUAGAAUUAUCAUUUUCAGGGCUUUCAAGAAUUCUGGAAUUUCCAACAUCAACCCAAAAAUAACUAGGAAAGCAAAUUGAAUUUAGAGCUUACAGCUUUGUACUUCCACGGAAAAGUUCACAGAAAACUCUCCAAAAUGUUUGGUACAGCAGGUUUUCCAGCUAAUACGUAAUGCAUCCUUAAGUACCUAUGGAAGAUAAUAAUAGUGAUCAGGCCUGUAUUGAAUAGAAACCCAGUAUGUAUAGUAAGCUCAUUAAAUCUAAUUAAAUCCUCUUCUUGUUCAGACAUAUUUUCCCGGCCCCUCAAUCAGCUGCUAAUAGAAAGGAUAAAGAAAAACGAAAUUAAACCACAAAGAGGGUGAUGUUGCUAGAAGCAGUAUGAGUUAUGACAGAAGUGAAUCUCAUGAAUCUUAAGUUACUAAUGAUUGUCGAAUAUCACUCGAUGAAGACCACACUAGUAUUAGUUCGAAUAAAACAAUGACCUGCUGAUGAAAAACUUUCAAGAAUACAAACAGUCACAGUUUCACAGACUAUAAGCUACUCAGACAACUAAUGAUCCACAUUAACAGAUACAUGGUUAAAAGAUGGAUUGUCACUUCUUGCAUCUCAUCAAUUUCUUAAACGCACCCGAGUUGUUUCAUCUACCUUCAUUCAAAAAUGAAACUUGAAUUUUUAUAGAAUCAAAAUAGAAAUGAUUUUCUAAUUUGAUCAUUUCUUAGAUUCUGGUGAAUUGGAUUGAAUCCAUUUUCAAUUUUAAAGCAAACAGUUGACAUAAACCCAAGUGUUUUGUAUUGAUAUUUUUUAUAAGACAACUCUGGUGUCUAAGCAAGCUUUCGCGCACCUCAACUAAUUCCACGGGACACCCACCACCUCCCACCAACAAUAGGUACCAGUAACUAUGUUCAUCAAAGCUAGGACAGAUGGGAAGUAAUCGCCUAGUGGGUUUUUUUGUCUUUGCUGGAAUUUGAACCGCAGACCUCAUGGUUCAUAAUCCACUUCAUUGACCACUAGAUCACACCCUUAGGUGCUUCUGCAUUUUCCAAAAAAAAUAAAAUAGAGCAAAUACAUACAAUGACUCUAUCCUAAAGAAUUCCUAUAAGAAUAAAAAAACUUCAGAUCAAUCAACUGUCUAGAAAGGAGAAUUUUCAGAGAAAACAUUCUUCAUUUUGUUACAAAGAGAGAGAAACUUUUUCAUGUACUUCAAUCAGAGAUUUUCAUUUUCUAUACCAUCAGCUGAUUUUCCCUCUCUGUCAAGGGUUUCUCACUGUCACUCAGUUCUUUUUUCUUCCCUUCAAAGUAAGCUAGUAAGAAAUCCUACUCCAAUCUCUCCAAGAUACUUCCAAUCCUCUAUGGGGGUAUCAUCUGAACAACAGGCUUUUCUAAUCCCAUUAUUCUCCAUUUUACAUUUGCCAGUCCAAUUCUGUGAGUGUUGCUAAAGUUUCUAUCUCGGACUGAUGUUUGGAGAUCUAAAACCGGUGGUUCAAGUUGAACAAUUGAUCAAUAUAGCUUCCCCAUCUCACCUUGAUCUCAUUAUCUCCCAUCAACGGUGGUUGAGAACUUAGUUGCACGGACUCUCCAUUUUUGUUGCCGCACCCGUCUCGGAUUCUCCAAAAAUACACUACUUUUGGCGAAUCCGACACGCACCCGUUGACAUUUUUGAAGAGUCCGAGCAACAUAGGUUGAGAAUUGUCUUUAACACACUUCACCUGAUUUAAGUCCUUACAUCUCUUCUCCCUCAGGCGUGCUAAUUUUAACCUUUCUUUCUACCCUACUGGUGUCCCCAAUUUUUUGUAUAAACAUCAAGUGCUUCCCAUCAAAAUUGACUAAUAGCCUUCUUAGCUUCCUUCUCACUUCUCUCUUGUACUCUUCAAAGGCUUCUCCAUCUUGUGUUUUAUAAUUAUAGAUCUGAAAAUCCUAGGAUGUUCGGAAUUAGGCAUUUGGGUUCUAUGUGGGAUGAUGAUCCAUACUCACCUGGACAACUCAUCCUUGCACUAUAGCUAGUAUUUUGACUAUUGACGUAAACUUAUAGGCCUAAAGUGUCAUGUCUUUGGGUGCAUCAGUGAGUUGCUACUGCAAAAAUGUAUGAUUAGUUUAGAUGGAAUAAAAAUUUAAGUGAAAGACAGAAUACUUUAUGAGAAGUUAAAAUUACCAUGGGGAUCAUUAGUUAGUGCCAGUGUUGAACCCAUUUAUACCUUAAAUUAUGUUCAAGUCCUGCCUGAACUACCCAGUAAACAAUUGCUAAAGUAUAUAAACAUCUUUCUUGGACCUGCUACCACAUUUGCAUUUAACAUCAAAAUCCGAAUGAAAUGCUACAUUCUAGCACUGAAUAUCCAUAUACAAAGCAAGAUCUCCAAAUUCUGCCUCAGCUCCUAGUCCGAACUCAUUACAGUACUAAAACUAAAAGACAUUUAAUACUAUAUUUCCACUACAUAAAUUCAAUCCUAUAAUACAUAAUAUUCAAAACAGUAAAAUCCAGUGACUGGGGAAAGAGAACAUACUGACAUUACUCUUAGACUCUCACACUAGAGUAACUAGUCGAGUGUAUGUGAAAAUACCUACAAAAGUUCAAUACCAUUUGACCAAAAAAGUUCAACACCACUAACAUGUGCACUUUCGCACCAUAAUAUGUGUAAAGCGCAUCUAAUAUACUAAUACCUUGAAGUCAUGUAGUUUUACAAUGAAAUGCAUCAUGUUAUGGUUAUGAGAAACAUUAGGGCCGUCUUAUAUUCAGUGGUAUUACAUGAUGGUUAGGUCAAUGUAUUUAGUGAUUCAAAAGAGAAGAGAAGACAAGUUGUUCCUCAUUAGUAGAAUAGUGAAGGAAAGAAGUGUUUUUAAGCACUUCUAAUACCACUUGAAAUAAAAUACUGAAGAGAGAUUUGGAGAAAUCAAAUUUAAUAUAUCUGGUAAGAUAUAUUAUAUUCUACCAAUGAGGGACAUCUUGUCUUAUCUUUUCUUCCCAAUCACUAACUACACUAAAAAUCAUCCAUUCAAUGAUUGGUGUAAUAUAUAAUUUAUGCAUAUAGUAAGUGUCUUUCGACUUGAACCUAAUUACUUGUAUAAGCUUUUUAAGAGCCUGUCAAAAUUGAUGGUAAGAUAAUUUUCUACUAAUCCAUCAUUCCUUUACUGACAAGACAAAAAGUUCUAUACACAAAUCAUGACAACAUAUGUGCACCAUGAGCUUUGCACUAAUGAGCCAAAAAGUACGCUUAUUUGACCUGUUUUAAGCCCAUCCAAACACACUCUAUAAUAUGGUGUUCUACUACCUCCCUAAAUUCAUACACUUGCAAAUUUUGUCUUCCAAAUUUUGAUUAAUUUGGUGAAGACUUAAUCAACCUUAACUUGACUUGGUUAGUUCUUAAUCAGAUUUAUGUUUCUAAGUAAAUAGAAACUUUGUACUUAGUACUCAUCCUUUCAUUCUUUCAAGUACUAUAAUUUCCCAGUACUUACAAACAGUCACAACUAUGUUCUUAACCAAUUUAAUUUUUUUUUUGAGAAUGAAUGUUCUUAACCAAUUUAUUUAAAGCACAAAUGGAGUAUUAUAUCUUUAGCACCCAUAUAAUUGAACUUGGAAAUACCUCGUUAAUGAAGUGAGAUUGAUAUAAGCAAACACUUCCGUUCUUUUAAGUACUAUAAUUUCCCAGUACUUACAAACUGUCACAACCAUGUUCUUAACCAAUUUAUUAAAAACACAAAUGGAGUAUUAUAUCUUUAACACCCAUAUGUAAUUGAACUUGGAAAUACCUUGUUAAUGAAGUGAGAUUGACAUGAGCAAAACAACAAGUAGAUUAUAGAUUCUAAGUUUGAUACCUAAGAUAGUUUGAUACUUUUUAUCUUUUUUACUUCUUAGUUCAUCAAUGCUUAGUUCCUAGUUAGCAUGUCAUCAACCUAAAGACAUACUAUCACUCUACAACCCUUACUUUGAUUAAAUGAAUUUAUCAACUCCAUUAUGUCUAAAACUACUUGAUAAUAUAAGGGGGCAUUUGGCCAUGAAAAUUGUGAGCAGUUGAAAAAAGUAGUUUUUGUUUUCAAAGUGAAAAAAUGAUAUUUGAAAAUUGGAGUUGUAUUUAACUAUGAACACAAAUUGGAGUUAUUUUUGAAUUUGUGUGAUUAUUUGAAGUGAAAAUAGCUUUAUAGUGUUUUUCAAAUUCCUAAAAAUUUCGGUAUACAAAUCCAAGUUCUUAGUCCGUGUAUACAACUUUAUUUUAAUACAAUUUCAAGUUCAAACGAAUCCCUGAAUACAACUUAGAGGUAGAGAGGUUGUUUUCGAUAGACCCUCAUCUCAAUAAAAAACAAUUAUGGCAAAACACAAUAGACAACCUGAUAAAUCAUCCUAAACAGCAGCCAUGUGAAAAUAAAACUAUAAUCAAAUGGUAAAAAACUCACAGAUAAUAACCAAACUCAAAGGACAAUAAACUACAUGAGUAAUACUAUAACUAAUAGCACAGCUAAUAGUAUAGGAGAAUAAGCAAAACAAUGCUCAACUGUGUACCUAAACUCCUACCCUAAUGAAUAUCCUCCAUAACCUCCUAUCUAAUCUCUUAUCUAAGGUCAUGACUUCAAUAAGCUAAAGUUGCCUAAUUUCUUGUCUAAUCAACUCUCCAAAAUACUUAUUUGGUCUACCUCUACCUCUCAUGAAAUUCUUUCUAGCCAACCUCUCACAACUUCGCACUGGGACAUCCAUUCCUCUCCAUUGCACAUGCACGAACCAUCUCAACUUUGUUUUCCACAUCUUGUCGUCAAUCGAGGUCACGCCUAACUUGUCCCAAAUAUCUUAAUUCCUAAUCUUGUUUACAUCCAUCGCAGCAUUUUCAUCUCCUCAACGUUCAUCUUCAUGAAAAUUCUUGAUUAGUCAAUACUCCAUUCCUACAACAUAGCAUGUCUAACCACAGCAUUCUCUAUUUCAAUUCCAAAAUCAACCUUAAAGCUUAAGUGGAAGUGAUCUUCUAAGAGAUAGAAUUGGGAAAUUAUAUAAGGAGAACAGAACUCAAAAUGUUUUGAUCCUCCUGAAUAACUACUUUGCAAAAAUGCGACUUUUAUCAGCAUUAGGUGCGGAAAUUAGGACUCACAAUUGAAAACUACCGAUCAGGGCAAGUGCGACAGAAAAAGGUACCCUGAGACAACUGGCAACAAGUGCGCGCCUCCAUUUGAAUGUGUGAUGUCAGACGGGUGGCCGCCACAGCGCUGUGAAGCGGUAAGAGCGAUUGGACGCAUCCCAGUACUCCGUUAGUCCUGAAAGAAAUACAUUUAACAAAUUUAAAAAGUCAGGUUUAGCCUAAAUUAAGUGAAAUAUAUAGGAGAAACCGAGAUAGGGAAAGGAACCUGGUGAGAAUGGUGGAAAGAGAACGGCGAGACUGAAGGCGCUGGCCGAGAAGAGAUUGUACACUUGCAGAGGAACCUACUGUUGAUGGUCUACUGCUGGAUAGAAGUGUCCGAGAAAACGACAUGCAACGCCUCGCCAUGAUUUUUGCUUCACUACUACUGUAUCCCACUGGGAACGAUGAGAUUCAGAUUUCAGGGUUUAAGGGACGUGACGAGCUUACAAAAUCUCGGUUCGGGCUGUGGGCCUGUUAAGAAAAGGGCACGUACUUAGAAUUUGGGCUUCUUACGAAAGAAGGUGAAGCAAGCGAAAGAUCAUGAAAAUUUAAGAGGAAGUGAGAAAAUUAAAUUAGAAAAUUUUCUAGCAUUUGAAUUAAUUACAAAAAUUUAUUUUUCUUUCUCUCUUAACAUCUGAAUACAUCACUCCAUUUCUAUCGAAUACAUUACAACUUUGUUUGUAUACAAUGUAUCUGAUACAAAUGUUAUUAUUGAUACAUAACCCCAAUUAUUUAAAAGCUAAAUCACUAUGUAUCUAUACAUAACUCAUGUAGCAUUUGUUAUGUAUCAAGCGAAGGAGCAAUGUAUUGAGUUAUGAAAAAUUCAAAAUUAUUAUAAAUUGGAAAACUUUCAAGAUAGGAUAUAACUAACACUCAAAUUACUGAGGUUUCUAUACUUUAUAUACAAUUAAUAUAGCAACUUAACUUUACCACUCCUUCUAUUUGAAAUUAUGAUAUUCCUUUAAUUUGCUUGAGAAGUAAGAAUCCAUAUCUAAAAUCAUAUAAAAGUAUUAUCAAUUACAAUUGUUAUGAUUAUAAAAUUUAAAAAAAUAUUGAAAAGAUUCUUCUCUGUAAAAUGAGAAAAAAAAGUGUAUAUGUUUGUUAUAUACCUUGCGCUAACAAGUAUGGAUUUUAUCAGCUAGAGUAAACACACAUCAAAUAUCAUCUAAUGUCGAUAUUUUUCAUUCACCAACCAAACAUUAAAAAAUAUUUUUUACUUACCAACCAAACAUAAGAAAAUAAAUGAGAAAUCUACUUGUUUUCCUAGAAAACAUUUUUAAUCGUACCAAACACACCCUAGAUGAUGAUGAUGAUGAAAUAAUUAGUGCGUAAAUAAUAAAUAUACUCUGAAUGCUUUCGUUAUCAAACAUAGCGAUGGGUCACGACAAGAUCCAUAACCUGUCCCUCUUGCCAGUUAACACUUGGCCCAUGUCAUGUGUAAAUGAGCCAAUCAAACCAAUUACUCUACUACUUAAAAAUAGUCUAAUAUAGCUUCCAAAUUUAUAUGAGUUUCAAUUAUGUCUCAUGUAUAUCUCCCUUACAUGGCACAAAUUCACUAUUUUGUCUUUCAGAUUGAUUCUUUUUAUUUGUACAGCUCUAUUUUCUUACAAUAAAUCUUUGCUAAUACAUUAAAAUGGAGUGAUACACGAGUCUUCUUUCAUGAUAAUAAAAAAUAAUGAGUAAUUCAUACGUUAAAGUCUACUUCUACUUUUGUCUUUUGUUAUUAAAGUUUGUAUUUAUAUUCGUAAUCAAGUUAAACUGACAAGUUUAUUCCAUUGAUGGAAGAUUAACUUUUAAGUCCUUCAAUAUUCAAAUUCAAUUUAUCAAGUUCAAACUCUUGAAUCGAAAUUUAAAAGAAAAAAACUAAAGAAAACUUUCUUAAGAUUUAAAUUAUUGUUAAAAUUACAACUCUUAGUAGGAAAAAUUAUGUACAUUAUUGUGACUUUGUUUAUCAAGGACUACUCACUACAAGACAAGGCUAUAUCUAAUCCAACCUAACGAAGCCAUGAAGUUGAAACUUAAUAAACAAGUCAAUUUUCUCAAUAUUUGAAAAUUGAAAAACUUGUUCAAGAUCAGUAUUUCAAAGGAAAUAAUGAUUGUUAUUAAUAACACCUUGAUUUUUACUAAAUAAAAUUAUUUACAUAAUUUAAACUUUGACAUAUUUUGUUUAAAUCUUCAACUUUAAAUAUUUAUGUUUUUUUUCCUUUAACCAAAUAGCAUCAAAUCGGCUACUUAUCUUUCACGGCUUGAAGGAAUAUUUUUAACACAAUGUGGUAACUUCAAUCAAAAUAUAUAUAGAAAACGUUUUUUCUUUUGGUAAAGAAUUUUGCAGCUGCUAUUAUUCAGAUGCGCACAAGGUAAACUUCGCUUCAAUAUAAUAGCCUGCAAAUCACAAAAAAAGAAAGAUAAAUCGUACUAAGCAACCCUCAUGUGAUAAGCUUGACCAAAAUAAUAUAUAGAAGAUUCCAAACCUAAAACUCUCAUUUGAGAGAUCACUUACACAACCGGUCACAUAUUUACAUAUUUGUUUCUUAAAAAGUUUGUAUAUACUCACUUGAACAUUUAAGUGUAACUUAAUUCUCGCAUAAAGAGUCAUAGAUAAUGUCAACGUCAUGCCAUUGUACUAAAAACUCAGCAGGUCGCCAAUCUCUAUCUAAUGAAAUGCUUUAGUCAAACGAGUGUAACAACAGAUUGAUCUUUAUUUGUUCUUUGAAUUUGUCUUAAUUCCAUCAAAAGAGUAGUAGUUGAUAAAUCUUUUUUUUGUGACAAAGCGUUGCAAAUUAGCGGGUGUGGGUGGCGUUCGGUAUUCAAUUUGAGAUAUUCAAAUUUUGGGCUUAGUAAUUCAGUAAUUAGUAGUUAAAAGUAGAUCUCGAAUAUUAAAAUUUUACAUGGGGUAAACAACACAAAUUUCACUAAUUUAGGAGCUAAUUACAUUUUUUUUCGUGAGUGCAAUAUUACUAAUCCUACCAUGAUUCGCACAUUGGAUACAUAUAACUCAUAUAUAUAUGUUAAUUAGGUAUAUAUAAUUAAAUAAAUUUAAAUAAGGAAUGUAACUGGAAGACAUAAAUUAAGGAGAAAAUCAUGUGUUUAAAAACUUCAGAAAAUUUCAAAAAAUCAUUUUUAUGUGUAUUUGAUAUGUUCAUUUUAUGUAUCUAAAUUGUUUUUCUGUGUAUCUGAUAUAUAGUUAAGGAUUAAAUGUAUCUAAUUUGUUCAUUCUAUAUAUCUGAACUAUUCUUCUACGAAUCUGAUAUAGUUUCUUUUGUGUAUCUCUCGUACUUCGUACUUUUGCUUUUGUUCACGAUUGUGUAUCAUAAUAAUGUAUGUCUAGUUAGAUAGUUUUUUUUUCCUUUCAAAUUUUGAUUUGGUAGUGUAUUCAGUAAUACCGUAUUGAAGUUGUAACCGAUUGUAUUAUUACAAAGUUAAUACUAUUUCUUAAAUUAUUUAUAUUUUUUUAUGUGGAGGAACAUAUAUUAGAAGUUCGACAAGUAAGAAGACAUCCAUAGAGGCGAAUUGAUACAACUAAAAGACAUAUAUUUUGGGUUGUUUUAAGUUUAUUCUUUAACUUUCUCUUUGGACUUGCACUAAUGAGUAAUUGACAUGUUGAUACAUAACAUUUAUAAGUAAAUAAUUUGGUAUUCAGGAAAUACUGAUUACAAAAUGUUACUAAUGUCUCAUACCAAAUCCAAAUACCAUAAUUCUAAAAAAAUUCUCCCAAAUAUCAAAUUACUAAAAAAAUCAAUUUGAUUUUCGUUAUUUUAUGCCCUGUAAAACAUUUGUAGUAAUUUUUUAUUUUUAAAUAUUACUUGACAAUUAUGUUCUCGCCUUCCUUUAUAGUCGUUACUAGAAAGCGAGCUAAGAAAUUAUAUUAAUUUCAUAAGUUGUUGUAUAAUUGUUAAAAAUUAAAUUAGAUCAAAUAUGUCAUUAAUGGACGUGUGUAUUUUCAAAUACGUUCUUAUUAGUCUUUUAAUUAUGUUUGACUAAGUUAUGUGUGAAGUAAAGAUAAUUUUAGAGUUUGUUGCUUGUAAGUCAAAAAUUAUAAAUUAAAAUUAUUAAUUUAUGAUUUUUGAUUUAGUUUUAUUUUUUUAACUUUAAAAUAAGUGUUUAAAAAUGUUUUUUUAUUAAAUAUUCAAUAAAAAUAAUAAUUACUCAUUUUGUUAAAUAUGAAUAGGUCACAAACUCACAAUUACUCAAGAGUAAUACUCCCUCUGUCCCUAAUUACUUGUCCACUUUUGAAUUAGCACACUUAUUAAAAAAAUAAUUAAUGACAUAGUGAGUUUACCAUUUUAUCCCUAUUAAUUAUGAAGUGGAUGAAAUUUUUUUAUAUUUUUUAAAAUAAUUAGUCAUUUAAUUGAGGAUAUAAUAGGUAAAAAGAAUUCGUACUUUCUUUAUUUAUCAAAAUUGAUAAGUAAUUAGAAACAACUAUAAAAGAAUAAAUAGACAAAUAAUUAGGGACAAUGGGAGUAUUGAUAGUUUCUCUAUUAAAAAAAGAAUAGCCGACAAGCAUUACUUUCUCAAGCCUUAGAACAUGCAUCGCAUUUAUUGACUUUGUAUAAAAUAAAGUUGAAGUUACAAUUAAUUUUCUAGUAUAAAGACGCGACACGUAGAUUUUAGUCGCAUUGGAAUUUUAAACCGUAACGAAUUGCCUACCAUUCCACCAAAGCGGGGCACACUCGCGCCUUAAUUUGUGGCAGUUACCCCGGCGUCUAAAUUGACCCUCUUCCUUUUUCUACGCUCUCAACUUAUCAAACAAAAUUAUCAAAAAAAAACUUGUCAAACAAAACACAUAAUAAAUUACCACAAUUGGCACACUGUUAAAUGGUAAGAAAUCCUUCAUUAAAGAAUCUUUAUUUCCUCAAUUGGAAAUAAUACUAUAAGGAAUUUGAUGAGAAUUUUCCGUGUAUUAAUUGAACCAUCAACGAAUUAAAAUUCAAUAAUUGCAUCUAAGUUAAAGGAUGACAAAUUGACAAUCAUAUUAAAGAUGGUAGGUGUACCUUCACUACAUUAUUUAUUCUGUCCCUUUUCAGAAUGCUCGGAGGGUAAGGGUAAUUGCAAGCUCAAAUCAUUUGCUUUCUUAAAAGAAAAAAAGCAAGAAGAUUGUACUAACUCCUAUUUCACAGGGCCUCCGUUGAAGUCUUUGAUUUGGUAGAUGAUAAAGUUAGAUCCGAAUGACUAAUAAAUCCCUAAACUUUGUCGUAUAUUAGCUCUAUAUUCUUUGCGUGAUUACUCAUGGAUCUACUUUCCUAUUUAUAUUAUGGAAUCAAUAAUUUUGUAUUGAUUUCUAAAAUUGUUGAAUCAAUAAAUGUUAUGCCCAUAAUGUCAGGAGUAGUAAAAGCUGGAUGUGUCGGUGGUAAUAGUAAAUAAACAACCUAACUUUUUUUAUUUUACCCUCAAACUUCAGUUACACCAAGCGAGGCAACCACUCUGCUAAACAAGAAUUUUCUAUACUUAUACUCUGUUCUCUGCAAUUCUUCCAAUUACUUGUUUCGGUCCAUUUUUCAUCAAAUGCUUCCACCUUACUCCGACGAGUCGCCGGACGCCGAUGAAGCCAUGCGCAAGCCUCCUAAAGCCAACCAUAAUGAUUUUCUAAGGAAUGCUGUGAGUAAUUUCCAGUAUCAGAUUUCUACUCAUCCUCGUUUCUGGCUUUUUACCUUCUUCCUUUUUUUCCAACUUGUGGUGCUUAUCUUUACUCGCAAUUCCCCUUUCCCUUUCUCAGUUCACUCCCCACCCAGUCCUCUUCCCCAAUUCCCUUCAGAAAUCGCUGUAUUUCCCGAUAUACAGACAGCCCAUCACGAUGCAAAUGUAAUUUAUCCCUUCGGCGAUUCUGAAUGCGAGUAUGGUCGGGUCUAUGUCUAUAAUUUACCAUCCAAAUUUAACAAAGAUUUAGCCUUGUUGACCUGCGACGAUCUAGACCCAUGGAAGUGGCAGUGUGGUCUUGUGACCAAUGACGGAUAUGGAAAGAGAUCGACGGAGCUCGCCGGAAUCUUGCCGGGAAAUCUCUCCGCAGCGUGGUAUCGUACAAAUCAGUUCUCAUUGGAGGUAAUAUUUCAUUACCGGCUUUUAAACUAUAGAUGUAGAACCAACGACCCAGAAUCUGCUACAGCUUUCUACAUUCCGUUCUACGCCGGACAGGCUGUUGGAAAAUACCUUUGGACUGAUGAAAUCGAAAAUCGUGAUUUGCUUAGCAACAAAUUACUGAAAUGGGUUCAGAGGCAAAAGUAUUGGAAAAAAUACAAGGGUUUGGAUCAUUUCCUAACUCUUGGUCGGAUUACAUGGGAUUUCCGACGAUUAGGUGACCCGGAAAAACUCUGGGGAUCCUCUUUUCUCAAUCGGCCACAGAUGCAGAAUGUUACGCGAUUCACAAUCGAGAAGGCUCCAUGGGAUGCUAACGAUAUCGGUGUACCUUACCCUACCGGAUUCCACCCUCACUCCGAGAAAGAACUCCGGGAAUGGCAAAACUUUGUUCUUUCAUAUAACCGCAGCAGUCUUUUCACCUUCAUAGGGGCGGCGCGUGGGGAUAUCGAUAGUGAUUUCAGAUCGAGGUUAAUGAGUUACUGUAGGAACGAGUCAGACUCGUGCCGAGUCGUGGACUGUGCCGUGAUUCCCUGCUCCAAUGGUUCAUCAGAAAUCCAAAAGGCACUUCUGAGCUCAGACUUCUGUUUACAGCCUAAAGGGGACAGCUUGACUCGGCGGUCGGUUUUCGAUUGCAUGGUGGCCGGUUCAGUACCAGUUUUCUUCUGGAGGCGCACGGCUUACACUCAGUACCAGUGGUUUUUGCCGGAAGACCCGGGGAGUUAUUCUGUGUUUAUAGACCCUGAAGCAGUGAGAAACGGGACAGCUUCCAUUAAGGAAAUUUUGAAGAGUUACAGUAAAGAUCAAGUGAGGAAAAUGAGGGAAAAAGUUGUAGAGACAAUUCCAAGAAUAGUGUAUGCAAGGCCAAGUGGAGGUCUUGGGAGUGUCAAGGAUGCAUUUGAAAUUGCAAUUGAAGGAGUAUUGAAGAGGGUCAAGGACGAAAACGAAUGGAAGGAAUACGUGGAUAUGGGCAGUUGAAGAUGAUGUUGGGAGAUUUGAUUAAUGUUGUAAAGUAUAUAAAUCUUUCCCUUAAUAUUCAGCUAUACAUACUGUUAUAAAUACAGGGACAAGUUUGAAGCCAGACGGGUAAUUCUAUAUGGCUGGUGAUAUGAUUCUUGGUUUUCAGAAUCAGCUUAGGUUGCUGGAUGAUGGAGAGCUCGGAUUUUAUACAUGUAUUUCCAAAUAUUUUUAGAGAUUUGUGUUAAGAUCAGAGGAAAAAGUGAGGUCAAGUGUUGUUAUUUGCAGGUUAGAGUUAUAUAUUGAUCAGAUUUUGGCAAUUCUUGUUUCAGUUCCAUGUACUAAAAUAAGGUUUCAUAUAGAUCAACAUUUCUGCUUGUUACUUUCUACCUAAUGCAAACAAGUUGUUUGGUAAAUAGUUAGGAGCUAAUUUAUUUGCUGCAUUUUAUUCUUUUUCGCUGUUGCACUGAAUGUAAUGCUGUGCACUAUCUGCUUGCUUAGAGUGUGAUUAUAGCUUUGGUAUAACAUUUUAGACGGCAAAGAAGCUCUUUUCAAACAAAGUGUUUGGUUGCAAACUCAAGCAUGAGGUUUGUGCUCUGUUUUAAACCGUAGAACUGUUUGCAUUCUGGGGUGGAUCGUUCAAUGCCCUCUGUUUAUAUAAACAUUCUACACUUGAUAUGUAUAGACAUAAGAAGAUGUUUUAUUUGGGAACUUAAUUGAUAUUGUAAGCAUUUCUGCAAUGAUCAUUAGGUUCAAGGACUUGAUUGUAUUAGUAAAUGCUCCGCAACAUCCUUCUAGUGGAGAUGAACUCUUUGACCUCAAUAUUUUAGUAUGUGAUUACAUUCGUUAUGUUUGUACUUUUGACAAUUGUUAGGGAGAAUUAUGAAGAGCCGUAGAAGCACACUCAUGGUCAUUGUUUGGAUCAUGAUUGAAGAAAGAAAAAGAAUGCAAACAGAUGUUUGGAGGAGAGUUUGCUUUACUUGGUUAUCACUCCAAGGUGUAGAAAUCUUGGCGUGCAAGCUGCUAAAUACAGUAUGGUACCCGGAGAGAGCUUGGGGAUAUAUUAUGCUAAUAUCAACUAUCAAGCCUAGCAAUUUUUGACCCAGUUAUCAUUUUAUACUGUGGUGCAGAAUAAACUCUAUUUAUAAAGCUAAAAUAACCUAGACUUUGAUAGGCUAAUUAAAACAAGUUGGAGCAGCAUAAUAUUUAAAAACUCUGUUGACUCAACAACCCCAUCAUAUAUAAACCAAACAAGUGCAACAAAUUGAGAUAUGUCACAAGGCAAAACAUGGAAGCAACUUUGCUGCUCUCUAUAUGUUUACUAGUACUAACUCUGUAAUUUGUUUGUUUGAGACGAAGAAAACUCAAUCUCCCGCCAAGCCCCCUACUUAAACUUCCAAUUAUAGGGCAUCUUUAUCUCCUAAAACCUCCUCUAUAUCGCACUCUUGCUAAGCUCUCAACAAAAUAUGGCCCGGUUUUCUCUCCUCAAUUAGGUACCCGUCUUGUUGUGGCAGUUUCCUCGGCAUCUGCUGCCGAAGAAUGUUUCACCAAAAAUGAUAUCGUUUUUGCCAAUUGCCCUCGUUUAACUAUUAGCAAAUACAUAGGUUAUAACUGAUGAGAUUCAACAAUGGUGAAACAAGGUUAUGGAAUCACUGAUGAACUAGAGAGAAAACUGUAACUUUUAUUCAUGAAAAGUAAAUGUCUCUUUACACAAUAUUGGCACUAUGCUAUUUAUAGUGUGUCUACUCAUAACCUCCUAAUCUAGUUAAUCUAACUCAACCAGAGUUAACUUUAACUAACAUUGUAACAAACUCUAUAACUAACUUUCCAGUUUCACUAUUCAUAAUAACUGACUUCUAGCUUCAACUUGUUUAUAACAUCCCUCCUCAAGCUGGUGGCUGAUAUAUGUCUUUAAAUCCCAACUUGGACAUUAGAUACAAGUGUGAAGCUUUCCAUAGACCCUUUGUAAGUAAGUCUGCUAGCUGCUCUUUUGUGGAUACAUGGUGAGUUUUUAUCAUUCCGUUAAGCAGCUUCUCUCUAACAAAAUAACAGUCAAUAUCAAAGUGUUUAGUUCUCUCGUGAAAAAUAAGAUUGGAUGCAAUUUGUAUUGCAGCCUUGCUGACACAAAAUAGAUCAACUGGCUGCUUAAUUUUCACUCCUAGUUCACUAUAUAAGCCAAUGAGCCAAGUAAUCUCAGCUACUGAAGAUGCCAUACUUCUAAACUCUGCUUCUGCAGAACUUCUUGCUACAGUCUCUUGUUUCUUUGACUUCCAGGAUACAAGAGCGUCACCAAACCUCACUAAGUAUCCAGUAACUGACCUCCUUGUUUGCAAACAGGUACCCCAGUCUGAGUCACAAUAGACUGUUAACAACUCUGAACUCUGUGAAGGCAUGAACAGGCCCAAUCCAGGUGAUGACUUUAUAUACUUGACUACCCUUAGUGCAGCUUCCAUGUGGGAUUCUUUAGGAGCAUGCAUAUACUGACUUAACACUUGUACUGCAAACGAAAUAUCCACCCUGGUCAUUGUUAGGUAUAGUAAUCUACCUACAAGUCUUUGAUAUCUGCCAAUAUCUAGCAAAGGUUUGUCCUUAGCUGUAGUAUCUGUAUCUUGUACAUGUGAAUCAUACUCAAUAGAUGUUAAUCGUAUAUUAGGAUCCAGUGGUGUAUGGACUGGUUUGGCACCACUUAAUCCCAUUUCUGAGAUAAGUUCCAAAGCAUACUUGCGCUGGCUCAUGAUAUAUCCCUCCUUAGUUCUGGCAAAUUCAAUUCCAAGAAAGAACUUCAAUUCUCCUAGAUCCUUUGAGAUUCAACAAUGGUGAAACAAGGUUAUGGAAUCACUGAUGAACUAGAGAGAAAACUGUAACUUUUAUUCAUGAAAAGUGAAUGUAUCUGUACACAAUAUUGGCACUAUGCUAUUUAUAGUGUGUCUACUCAUAACCUCCUAAUCUAGUUAAUCUAACUCAACCAGAGUUAACUUUAACUAACAUUGUAACAAACUCUAUAACUAACUUUCCAGUUUCACUAUUCAUAAUAACUGACUUCUAGCUUCAACUUGUUUAUAACAUCCCUCCUCAAGCUGGUGGCUGAUAUAUGUCUUUAAAUCCCAACUUGGACAUUAGAUACAAGUGUGAAGCUUUCCAUAGACCCUUUGUAAGUAAGUCUGCUAGCUGCUCUUUUGUGGAUACAUGGUGAGUUUUUAUCAUUCCGUUAAGCAGCUUCUCUCUAACAAAAUAACAGUCAAUAUCAAAGUGUUUAGUUCUCUCGUGAAAAAUAAGAUUGGAUGCAAUUUGUAUUGCAGCCUUGCUGACACAAAAUAGAUCAACUGGCUGCUUAAUUUUCACUCCUAGUUCACUAUAUAAGCCAAUGAGCCAAGUAAUCUCAGCUACUGAAGAUGCCAUACUUCUAAACUCUGCUUCUGCAGAACUUCUUGCUACAGUCUCUUGUUUCUUUGACUUCCAGGAUACAAGAGCGUCACCAAACCUCACUAAGUAUCCAGUAACUGACCUCUUUGUUUGCAAACAGGUACCCCAGUCUGAGUCACAGUAGACUGUUAACAACUCUGAACUCUGUGAAGGCAUGAACAGGCCCAAUCCAGGUGAUGACUUUAUAUACUUGACUACCCUUAGUGCAGCUUCCAUGUGGGAUUCUUUAGGAGCAUGCAUAUACUGACUUAACACUUGUACUGCAAACGAAAUAUCCACUCUGGUCAUUGUUAGGUAUAGUAAUCUACCUACAAGUCUUUGAUAUCUGCCAAUAUCUAGCAAAGGUUUGUCCUUAGCUGUAGUAUCUGUAUCUUGUACAUGUGAAUCAUACUCAAUAGAUGUUAAUCGUAUAUUAGGAUCCAGUGGUGUAUGGACUGGUUUAGCACCACUUAAUCCUAUUUCUGAGAUAAGUUCCAAAGCAUAUUUGCGCUGGCUCAUGAUAUAUCCCUCCUUAGUUCUGGCAAAUUCAAUACCAAGAAAGAACUUCAAUUCUCCUAUAUCCUUCAUCUUGAACCUGAGUUUAAGAUCAUUUCUGGUCUUAACUAUCAACUUGCUGCAGCUCCCAGCCACUAACAGAUCAUCUACAUAUACAAGGACCACUAUUAACUCAUUUCCCUCUCUUCUAGUGAAUAGGGAAUAAUCAUAGUGACUCUGAAUAAAUCCCAGUUAUAGUAAUGUUUCAGUCAAUUUAAGGUUCCAUUGUCUAGGUGCCUGUUUCAAUCCAUAAAGUGACUUAUGCAAUUUGCAGACUUUGCCAGACUCCCCCUGUUUGCAAAAACCAUGAGGAAUAACCAUAUAAACAUCCUCAAUAAGAUCACCUUGAAGAAAGGCAUUGUGGACAUCCAUUUGGAAAACAGGCCAUUGCUUAGCAGCUGCUAUAGCCAGAACAGACCUCACUGUAACCAUCUUGGCUACAGGGGAAAAAGUAUCGGAGUAGUCCAACCCUUCCUGCUGGUGAAAACCCUUAGCAACUAACCUGGCCUUGUACCGCUCAAUAGCCCCUGAAGCCAAUUACUUCACUUUAUAAACCCACUUGCAUCCAAUGAGAUGUUUGCCUGGAGGUAAAUCAGUGAUACUCCAUGUAGUGUUCUCUUCUAAAGCAGUGAUCUCAACAAGCAUAACUUGAACCCAUAAAAGAUCAAGAGAAGCUUCAUGAAAGGACGUAGGUUCUGAAAUACUAGAAUAGGCUGCUAAGGCAGCACCAUACUUAGCAGACAGACAAUGAUAGCUGACAUGAUUGGAUAAAGGGUAGAGACAAGAGGAUUUGGGUUUGGAAAGAAGAAAGUCAUGAUGCCAGAUAGGAGGUCUAGAUGGUCUAGAGGAUCUUCUGAGAGAUAGGGUGGUAUAAGGUAGAACAACUGUAGGAACAACCUCAGAAGAAGUAGAACUAGGAGACACUGGGUGUGAUGGACAAUCAGGAGAAGAAGCAAGAGGUGUAUGUGAUGAACAAUCAGGAGGAGCAGCUGUAGGUGGAUACUCAACUGGAGAAGAAGAAUUAAUAGAAGUUGAAGUAAGCUGAACAAUUGGAAACAAUGGAGAGCAAGCUGAGGUGUUGUGCUGGAAAGAAAAAACUUCCUCGUGGAAGACUACAUCCCUGCUGACUAAGAACUCUUUAGUGUGCAAGGAGAAGAGUUUGUAACCCUUUUAGAGAGUAGAGUAACCAAGAAAAACAGUAGGAAAUGCUCUAGGUGCAAAUUUGUCAGUUUUCCUCACUUCAGAAGCAAAAGCCAGACAACCAAAGACUCUGAGUGAGAGAAGGAGAGGUGUGAUACAAUAAGUCAUAAUGAGUCUUUCCCUGAAGGACAGCAGAAGGUAACAUGUUGAUUAAGUAGACACUAGUGGUAACACACUCACCCCAGAACCUAAGAGGCAUAUGAGACUGAAACCUUAAUGACAUAGCAACAUCAAGGAUAUGUCUAUGUUUCCUCUCUACAACACCAUUUUGUUGAGGUGUGUAGAUGCAGGAACUUUGGUGCAGGAUGCCGAGGGAUUGGAGUAACUCAUUCAUUUGUGAAUUAAAGAAUUCACACCCAUUGUCAGACCUCAGAAUCUUUACUGAUGCACUAAACACAUUGCCAAUCAUUAACAAGAACUUUCUUAAGGCUACUAUGACCUUAGAUUUAGAGUUCAGUAAUAUCAACCAUGUGUAUCUGGAGUAAUCAUCAACCAAAGUUAAAAAAUACCUUUUACCAUCAUGAGUUGGAACUCUAUAAGGACCCCAAACAUCAGUAUGUAAUGUGUGAAAACAAGUAGUAGUAGUAGUAUUACUCAAAGGGAAAAACAGUCUAGAUUGUUUAGCCAAAUGGCACACAGUACAAAGAUCAUCUGUAGUAGAAUGAAGAUGUUUGAAACAACCUAACUUUUUUAGAGUAGUAAAAGGUACAUGACCAAGUCUUUUAUGCCAUACUGACAAAUUUUAUUCUAGAAGGACAUGCGAAAAGCUACAGAACAAGACGUAAAGACUGGAGUGACUUGAUCAUGAUGUGAGACUGCAUGUAGUUGAGAUCCUUAUGACUGCAACUGACAGUCAGUAGUGAGCACAUACAUGUCAUUCUCCAACUUGCCAAUCCCCCUCACUCUCCCAUUGAAGAGGUCCUAAAAAAUGCAAAAGUCAGGGUUGAACAGAACAGUACAGUUCAAUUCCUUUGUGAGUUUAGACACAGAAAGUAAGUUAUACUGAAACUUAGGAAUAUGCAGGACAUUCGUAAUCUCAAUUCCUCCUAGAAUUUGAGAUGAUCCAAUGUGACUGACUGUGGCAAGUUUACCAGUAGGUAGAUACACUCUUCCCUCUUGUGAAGGAGUUAAUGGUUUGUAAUGAGAUAACAUGUGCAGAUUACGAACCAUGUGUUUGGAGGCACCAGAAUCAACUAUCCACUUAUCAGUAGAGGAUAUACAUGUGGUUCUCAGAGUUGAAUCUGUGUCAUUACAUAUCCUCUUCUUACCCUUCCAGUCAGAGGGAUAUACAUGAAGCUUAUAGCAACGAUCUUUUGUAUGGCCUUUCCAGUUACAAUAAUCACAGUACAGGUGACUAUUGGAGUUGUUCUUAGAUCUGAAGUUGGAGACACCAGCACUUGAUCCACUGGAACUAGAGAAGUUGUGAUUUGGAUUGUUGCCACUGAAGAAUGCUAGAGCUUCAUUCAUGUGCCUAGUGUUAGAGGAAGCAUCACCAACAGAAGCUGAAUUAGCCUUGCCAAGUAUCCUCUGACUUUCUUCUGCAAUCACUAGAGAAUAAGCCUUGUUAACACUUGGAGCUGGAUCUAUCAUCAUAAUCUGGCUCCUACACUGGUUGUAGGAUUCAUUCAAACCCAGAAGAAAUUGCAUUAAACGUUGGUGUUACGACUUGAUUUCGAAAACUAAGGUUUCGGAACCAAUUUCGCAAUUUUUGGCAAUUUUUGUUAAGUUUUGGAAAAAUUUAUAAUUUGGAAGUCGCCACUUAUUUUUUUAGGAAAAAUUAAGAAAACCGUUUAAAGAGAAUUUUUUUUUGAAAGGAAAUAUUUUAAAUAAAACCAGAGUCAGGUAAGGGUUCAAAUAAUUCUCUAAGGAAGGGGUUAGGCAUUUUAGAGAAUCCGCUAACACGCGGUUGACCGACAGAUUUAAAAGUUUGGCUAAUUUUAAAUGAAAACUUAAAUUACUCAUAAAAAAUCUUUGUGAGAAUAAAUAGAGACUAAUUUAUACUUAACAAAUAAUGAAAUAUAUAAAAAAAAAAUGGUUAAAGUGUCGAAAAUGUUUUUAACUUGAUAAUUUAUCCGAGUUAAAGAUUUUAAACCAAAGAGUUAGUUCAAAUUCAUUAACGUGGAUUCAAAGCUUCUUAAUAACUAUGAAAGAACAUGAAUGGUUCUUAAGUUAUUCUUUAAGCUUAAGUUGCCUAAGAACAAACUGUGUUGAUAAAUAAUUAGGCAAACCAACCUUUCGAAAUGAAAAUUAAUAAGUAACGCCGACUCUUGUGAGGAUUCAUCCAAGGUAAUAAGAAGUUAAUAAAAAGGGUUAGACAUCAUAAUAACAAGGAAAGCAAGCAAGUAAUACAAAGAAAGGUCUGGACUUUUGGUCCAAAUUCGGCCGCUGCCUCAUUUUCUUCUCUGUUGCAUCUAUGUUUUCGGACUUUUGAGUCCAUAAAUUCUUCUUUGUAUCGCUGCUGUUGCAAGUUCAAAUUGGACUUUUUAAGUCCAAAAUUCCACCUUCUUAGCCCCUUUAGCUGCUGCUUCUGAUUUUUGGGUUUUAACCCAAUUUCGCUCCUCAUUUUUCGGCCUUUCUAAGCUGCUGGUGCUGCUGAUUUUCAGGCAGCUUUAACCCAAUGUAUUUACUUCUCUCUCAACUUGAUAGAGGUUGACUCGAAAAGAAGAAUAUGCAAGAGAUGGGGAGUCCAAGUGGACUCAAUGGAAGAGAAUUCAUGCGAAGAAAACGAAGAAAAAGAAUUAGUAAUUGAUCAAGAAGAGGGCUGAUUCUAAUUUGACAUAUAAACGAAACUCAAGCAACAUUUAAUAAUGCAACUUAAAUCUGCCCAAUAAAAGAAAGAAACAACCAGGGACAAAGAGUGCAACUUUCCAUCGUAAAGCAAUUCCUCAUAUGCAAAACAGAAGUCACCGUAAUCACAAUUGAAUGUAAGCAAAAAUUUGGUCAACAGCUAAGUGGAACAAAUACACAUUCAUAAGCUUCCUAAAAAAAUCAGAAAUAACAACAAAUAGAUUUAAAAAAAAAAGAACAGUCAAUUAUAAUAGCAACUAAUCUCCUGGAAAUAGAUUUGGACAUCAAAAUGAGUAAGAGAAACUUAAAACUAACUAAAGGCCAAAGAGCUGCAGGUUAGAUCAACUUAACAGACCAAACACUAAGCUAGUUAUGCAUAUAAGUGCACCAGAAAUAAAAUAAAAUAAAAAUAAAAAAUAAUCCUCAGAGUAUAAACAAAUCGGCUAAUUAAUCUACUGUACAAUGAGUAUUACAGACAAUUAGCAAUGCAAACCAAAGGAUCCCAACAACUUCCAAAUUCCAAGAAGCAAACAAACAAUGGAAUACUAUCUAAACCUAAACAAAACGAGGCGCAAAAGAAACUAAGGCAUGCUGGAAAAUUACGAUGCAUAAAUCACCAUAUAAUAAAAUUGGCGAUAUUCGAAAUUACGAGAGACAAACCGAAAAAAUGCAAAACCCGAAAAUAGCAUACUCAUCCGCUGUCCAAACUAGGAUAAAAAUUACGCAAAACUAAACAUGAAUUCUAAACUAAAACUAACUUACUAUUACCAUUAGCAACAUACACUUUGAAAACCUCAAAAGAAAAGAUGGAGAAUGUCAUCUUCAUGUCGAUUAAACACAGACUUAAAGAGAAGAACAUUUAAAGUAAAUGGGCAGCCAACUCAUGCUAGUAGGAAGCUCCCUUUUACGCUCAUGGCCAAACCGAUUGAAUUAACUAGGAUGAACAAAAGAAUCCAAGCAGAACGUAGUCAUCAAAUACUACUAAACGAGUGUAACAUCUUCAUACUACGAGGUUAUCCCAAAACAACCGAGCAAUAUUGAACUAAAAUUACUGAUCUAUACUUGAAAAUACACUAGAGAAAUAACGAAGUGGCUUCUUUGACACUUCAGAACAUAUACUCAAAACAAGAAAAAAUUAUUCCAGCAAGCAGACACAGAACAUAAUCAUGGCGGUUAACAAAUGAACAAACCAAGCUUAAGGCGAGCACAACCACGAUCUCAAGAAGACUAAGAAACAGCGACAACAAAUUCAAACAGGUAUUAAGACAUUUUCGAAAGCGAAGCACACAAUACCAGUUUCAGAAAGCUUAAGAUGAAGAGAAAAACUCAGCUUGAGCAUGUCAUAUCGGAUCCCUCUUGAAUCGACAAAGAACAAAACACGAUUCAACACGUUCAAACUCGAGAUGAACAAAAUAGUUACUAAAUGUUUACCUCUUGCUGAGCAGCGAAUGGGACGGUGACGAGUUUCUGGGAAUGCUUCCACCACGAAAAUUUAACCACGAACAGCGAAAUGAAGAACUUGGACAGAAUAUGAGCAGUUCUCUAUUCGGGAGUGUAUUGCUACUUUUGCUCAAGUUAUUCUCUAUAUUUUCGCUCAAAAACCCCCCCUUAACAAUGAUAAAAAUGAGAGUUUAUAUAGAGGGGGAGCUAGGGUAGAUUUGAGGGGGAAAAAUGAGGGUAAAACUGGAAUCCCUUUUUCGAAAUUUGAACUUCCUCCCUAAGAACAGAAAAAUUGCUCCUUGAUGUGCGACAACACCAAUUUUUCAACAAACUCCAACGGCUAAACAACAAGGGUCGUUCGAUCUUGAGGUGAGGACAAAGGGACGAGGAGAUAAUUCCACCUGGCUGCGAAGGAUGAAGCUGCCUGCUGGAAUCGGCGCUGGAACAGUACUACGCGUACUGUUUGUCGGGGAAAAGAGGAAGACGACGAGAAAAUGCAGCGUACCGUUGUACGCGUACUGCCGCCGCUGCUUUCCGUGUAUAGCCGUGAGUUACUCCUGUGAUUUUUGACUCUGUUAGCUGCUAUUGUCGUUGGAAUUGGACGUCGGUACUAUGUACCGCUAUUGAGCGUUCUGGGUCUUCUUUUGAGCAAGGAUUUGGGCCGGGUUUGGGUCAAAGGAAUGAAAAAAUGGUGGGCUGGAAAUUGGAGGCUGAAUGCAUGAGAUUUGGGCCAGUAUUUGGCUGAAAAUUAAUCCAAUAAGCGGAGCAAAAAAUAUUGGUCAAAUUUGAAUUCGAAAAGUAACCAAACGGAUUACAAAUUUGGCCAAGUGAAAUUAAGAAUUUAGCCAGAAUUGCAUGUCAUUGGCGAAUUAGGCUAAGAAUUGAAUAAGAUAAAUUAAUUAACGAGCUUCUUAAUUUUAACGAAAUAAAAUAAAUUAACUUAAUUGUAAAAUAAUGAUUCAAAAUUAUAACCAUAAUUUUAACUAAACUAAUUUAACAAAAUACUUACUAAAAUUAAAAUCUUUUUGAGAUGAUUUUCAAAUGUUUAUAAAGUAUUCUUAAUUAUAUACGCAAUUAUAUAAAAUCUAUUUACUACUUAAAAUGCUAUAAAAAUGGCUAAAAUAACUUUUAAUUUUUUUUUGAUUUUUUAUAAAUUAAUUAUUUCAAAUCGUUUGAAAUUAAAGAAACUCCAAAGUUAAUUCCUAUCAUGGAGGGUCAAAAUUGGAUGUCAACAGUUGGUACUCAAAAUGAACAGCAUAUGUCUGUGAUACAUCACAGGCACAACCAGGACACGGCAUGAGUGAAUCAUAUUCCAUCCACAACUCUUUAAGCUUGGAGAAAUAGACUGAAACUGAUGAGACUCCUUGAUUGAGUGUAGCAAUUUCCUUGUGCAAGUAGAAUAUACGAGAGCCAUCCACUUUGUCAAAUCUCUCUUUGAGAUCUGUCCAUACUUGUUGAGCAUUACUAGCAUAGACAAUUCCACUAAGAAGCUCUCGACUAAUAGAGAUCAUGAUCCAUGAGAGAACAACGGCAUUACAUUUUUCCCACAAAGCAUGUAGAGAAGCAGGAAACUUAUCCUUUGAGCUAGCACCAUCAACAAAACCUAUUUUUCCUUUUCCUAGCAAACCUAUCUUCAUUGAUCUACUCCACAGAGAAUAAUUCUCAGAUCCAGUAAGUUGUAAAGAGACAAGAGAGCUAUCUGGAGUGUCACAUGCUUGCAGGUGCAGCGGAUGAUGAGAAUCAAUUGGAAACUCUCUUCCUACAGCUGUAGGAAUGGUAGAAUCAGAGUUUGACAUUCACCGAUCGCCAUUGAUGACUACACAACAGCGUAAACAAUAUAGAUUCAACUACUUCUCAAACAAUGCAACUCCUUUUGAGAAAGCUGUCGGAAAAAAAAUGCAGAGAUAAUCAGUAGAUCAUUGAUGGCUUUGAUACCAUGAUGAGAUUCAACAAUGGUGAAACAAGGUUAUGGAAUCACUGAUGAACUAGAGAGAAAACUGUAAGUUUUAUUCAUGAAAAGUAAAUGUCUCUUUACACAAUAUUGGCACUAUGCUAUUUAUAGUGUGUCUACUCAUAACCUCCUAAUCUAGUUAAUCUAACUCAACCAGAGUUAACUUUAACUAACAUUGUAACAAACUCUAUAACUAACUUUCCAAUUUCACUAUUCAUAAUAACUGACUUCUAGCUUCAACUUGUUUAUAACAAUAACUAUACUACUGUUGGUGAUUCCCCUUAUGGUGAUCACUGGCGUAACCUUCGUCGCCUCUGUGCACUUGAAAUUUUCUCCAAUAAUCGUCUCAACAAUUUUCAGCCCAUUCGACAACAUGAAUUCAAUAAUCUUGUUCACAGAGUGUUUCAUAACUCUGGCGACAAUUUUGGGACUCCUGUUGACCUUAAGUCCAAGCUUUUUCAGAUGUCAUACAAUAUCAUCAUGAGAAUGGUAGCUGGAAAGAGAUAUUAUGGUGAAGAGGAAGACAACGAGCUAGGAGGCAAAUCAUUUUCAUUAUCCAAUUAUGUACUAUAUAUAUUUUGGACCAAUGAAUUGAAAAGUCUAUAUUGGGUCAGCAACCUCAUGAGAUAAAUUUCGUUAUCCAAUUAUGUACUAUAUAUAUUUUGGACCAAGGAAUUGAAAGGUCUAUAUUGGUUCAGCAACCUCAUGAGAUAUAAACCAAGCAAGUGAAACAAGUUGAGAUAUGUCCAAGGCAAAAAAAUGGAAGCAACUUUGCUGCUCCCUAUUUGCUUACUAGUACUAGUUCUAAAACAUGUCUUGUCAAGACGAAGAAAACUCAAUCUCCCACCAAGUUCAUUACUUAAACUUCCAAUUAUAGGCCAUCUCUAUCUCCUAAAACCUCCUCUACAUCGAACCCUGGCUAACCUCUCAACUAAAUAUGGCCCUGUUUUCUCCUUCAAUUUGGUACCCGUUUUGUUGUGGUGGUUUCCUCCUCAUCUACUGUCGAAGAAUGCUUCACCAUAAACGAUGUCGUUUUCGCUAAUCGCCCUCGUUUAAUGAUUGGAAAAUACAUAGGUUAUAACUAUACUACUGUCGCGGGUUCCCCUUAUGGUGGUCACUGGCGCAACCUUCGCAGCAUCUGCGGACUCGAAAUUUUAUGCACAAAUUGUCUCAACAAUUUUCAGCCCAUUAGACAACAUGAAAUCAAGGUUCUAGCUCAUAGAGUGUUUCACAAGUCUGGUGACAGUCCUUUUGAACUUAAGUCCAAGUUAUUUCAGAUGUCGUACAAUAUUAUCAUGAGAAUGGUAGCUGGAAAGAGAUAUUACGGUGAAGAGGUAGAUAGCGAGGAGGCACAUCAUUUUCGGAAGCUUAUGGAAGAGGUUAAUUCAUAUGGAGGUGCAUCAAAUCCCGCGGAUUUCGUGCCUGCAAUAUUUCUGUUGUUUUCCAGGAGCACGGAGAACAAAUUAGCCAAGCUUAGUAAAAAGAUGGACGCUCUCUUGCAAGGUUUGGUUGAUGAACAUCGUCGCGAUAAAAGCUGGAAUACUAUGAUUGAUCAUUUGCUUUCUUUGCAAGAAUCAGAACCAGAGUAUUACACUGAUCAGAUCAUCAAAGGGAUUGUUUUGGUAAGCUUCCUUCUAGACUCUAUGUUAAUUGAGAAUCUGUGUCACUUAAAAGGCCCCAUCUUCUCUCUCUAUAUCGUUUCUGUGCCUCAUCUAUGCUCUCUUUCACACUUCCUUUCUUACUGCUUACUGUUCUUAAAUCUUUGUGCUACCUUCAAUUGCAGAAAUAUAACAAUCAAUUCCCAGUAGUUUCCGCAUUACUUCUCCAACCCCACUGGACCCGGCUCCUCUCCAUUUCCCACAAUGGGGCCUUGAAUUUCUUAUACGUGUCCCUCGUACAAUCUAAGGGAUAAUAUUUAUUUAGUUAACCUGAGUUGAAGCUUUUAGUUAACCAAAACUAAAUAAAUAUUGCCCCAUAGAUUGUACAAGGGUCUGGGAUAAGAAAUUCAAGACCCUGCCGUGGGAAAUUGAGAGAUUAACCACCGGAGAGGACCCGGGUCCAGAGUGGGGUUGGAGAAGUAAUGCAAGAGAAGCAGGACACAACUGGUAUUUUUUCUCUCUAAACUCUAUAUAUGAAGAGGAAAAAGUAGAGAUGACCAUCUGCAUUUACACUCUAAACUUCACUAUUUCACUUUUCUAUAUUUUAUUAUUAGUUAUAUUAUAUAUCAUUUGUAAUUAAACAUAGUAUAAAUUAUAUACCAUUAAUGAAGUCUCUAAUUAUUUUCUAAUGUAAUAUCUUUAUUAUAUUAAUUUUAAAUUUAUACCUUUAGUUUCCGUAAAAAUAUUUUUUAUUUAAGAUAUAAGUUAGUUUUAUUAUAAUUUAUAAUUGUAUUAAACAAAUAAAUGAAAAGCACAUGUAAAACGAGUAAUUAAAUUAAAAACAUUGAAAAAUAUACUAUUUUCAUCCCGAAUUAACAAUCUUUUUAACUUUAGAAAAUAUUUUAAAUAUUUAUCACUUUAAAUAUGUAAAUUAAAAUUAUAAUUAUGUUUCAGUUCUUACAAAAUUUAAAAUAAGUGAAACAAUCUACUUUUAUUAUAGUGAUAAAUUAUUCAAUCACACUAUUUGAUGAGCAUAAGAUCAAAUAGAUGAUGCAAUUAAUAGUUAAAAAUGGAAUAGGGAAAGAAACACUUUGAUACAUGAUAUUGUUAAAAAUACAAUACAAGAUACUUACUUGAGAAGUUUGGACUCCAAAUCCAACGGCAGAAAUGGUGGUAGAUGUUUCUCAUUGGGUAAUAACUGCAGAUCAUGCUAAAUGCGGGAACGGAUACAUCAUCGGCGACAACAGAGUGGGCAAUGUCUCUUCUACUUAACCAUCCAGAGGUGUUGGAGAAGGCUAGAGCUGAAAUAGACAACCAUGUGGGUAAGGAUCGUUUAGUUGAUGAAGCGGAUUUACCCAAGCUGAAGUACCUUCAAAGUAUCAUCUCCGAGACACUCCGAUUGUUCCCAGCAGCACCAAUGCUAUUGCCUCAUGAAUCAUCUGAGAUUGCAAGGUCGCUGGCUUCCACAUUCCACGAGGCACGAUGCUAUUGGUGAAUGCUUGGGCCAUUCAUAGGGAUCCGUUACUUUGGGAGGAUCCGGAUAGCUUCAAGCCAGAAAGGUUUGAAGGUGUGGAAGUGGAAUCAUGGAAGUUGUUGCCAUUUGGAAUGGGAAGGAGAGCAUGCCCUGGCUCCGGACUUGCUCAACGUGUGGUUGGUUUAGCUUUAGGAACUUUAGUGCAGUGUUUUGAAUGGAAAAGGGUAAGCGAUGAGAGGGUCGAUUUGACAGAAGGAAAAGGUCUCACUAUGCUAAAAGCUGAGCCACUCAUGGCUAGAUGCAAAGCUCGUGAAAUUGUUCACAAACUUCUUUCAGAAAUAUCCUGAUCGUGUCUUUCUUGCAUGUUGUUAGUUUAGAAAGGUUUGAACAAGUAAUAAAUCAUUGUCUCAUAUGCUAUGCACUACCUGAGUUUCUAAUUUGUCAUUCAGAUACUUUGGAAUAAUAUACAUAUGAGGUGCUACUUCAUUUGAAUGGUGAAAUCAUAGGCCGUGGACUACAGAUUUGAUGAUUUUAAUUGGAAUUAUCAUCUUGAAACGACGCAACAACAUAAAUAUGAAAGAUUACUAAAAUGUCAACAGAUAUUAAUUCAGAACCCAUGCAUAAUUUUCAAUGAACAAUGGAUCAGUGGUCAUUUCGCGGUUGAACCCAUGCAUCAAUUUAAAUCCUCCUGGCGUAAAAGUAUAGUAGAAACAAGGCUAUAAGCCUUUGGACUCGGUUACAACUCCAAAUUGCAGUAAGUAAUUUGAAUUUUUGUAAAGAAGACAUCAUUUCUUCUCAGGAACUGCUCAAAUUUCAUAUAUCUAAACUUGCUGGUGUCCUCACGCACGGUGGAACCUGUUUCCAUGCUUCACGGAGAAGCUUGUAUCUAACAACAUUCCUUGCAGGUUUCGCUAAAUUCGGAUAAUCCUUGAAGCUAUCAGCAAGGAACGAAGUAAACGAUGAGUCUAGUUCAUCAAGCUCAGCACAGAUGAUCCAGUACUUUUUAGAACUUGAUUUCCAACCUUCUCCAUGAAAGUGGUGAGAGACAAUGCUGGAGGAGGUGUAUACAGUGGAAGCUCUUUUUAAAAAAGGGAAAAAAUUGUUGCAAAAAAAUUUGAACACGCGAGCACCGACUCAUUAAAGAUAUCUAAACACAUAUUCAAGACACCUUAAAUC
RNAcentral lists this long non-coding RNA (31476 nucleotides) under Solanum tuberosum (potato). RNAcentral's name for it is "long non-coding RNA (STUB_LNC003211)". The record is from RNAcentral. Lineage: Eukaryota; Viridiplantae; Streptophyta; Magnoliopsida; Solanales; Solanaceae.